RNAcentral lists this long non-coding RNA (219 nucleotides) under Lathyrus oleraceus (garden pea). RNAcentral's name for it is "Pisum sativum (pea) long non-coding RNA (PSAT_LNC012905)". Lineage: Eukaryota; Viridiplantae; Streptophyta; Magnoliopsida; Fabales; Fabaceae. The record is from RNAcentral.
UUGGGUCAUUAUGUUCAAUGGGUUUAGAAAUCAACCUGCAUAAUGAUUUUGGAUAUAAAAGAGAUUUUAGAAUUCAAACAAAGCAAAUCAUUAUGCAGAUGAAAAGAUUGAUUUUAUUUUAUUUUUUAGGGUUUUAUGUGAUCACCAAUUUCAUGCAAAAACAAAAAGGGAAAAUAAAUGGGAAAAACAAACAUUUAACAUGAAUUUAUUGAAUGAAAA